Long non-coding RNA from Arabidopsis lyrata subsp. lyrata, 888 nucleotides. RefSeq lists it as uncharacterized. NCBI's taxonomy places the organism in Eukaryota, Viridiplantae, Streptophyta, Magnoliopsida, Brassicales, Brassicaceae. The record is from RefSeq and is a predicted model, not a curated record. The transcript has 2 exons.
UUGUAGUAUAGGUUGAUGUUUGAUUGUAGUAUUGGUUGAUGUCUGAUUGUAGUAUAGGUUGAUGUCUAAACGUAUCACUUCUUUCUCUAUUGUCUUAGUUUGAUGUUUUAAUAUAUGGCUUUGCUUGUGACAUGAUCAGUAGCUAAUCAGUACACUCUAACAUUGAAAGUAUGUAAUAAAUUGUUUCUGGUUUGCUUUUUUUUUGGUUGCUUUUGGUAUACUUUUCAAUGUUAGAGUGUGUGAUUAUUGGCCAUCUUUUUUUGUUGCUUUUGGUUUGCUUUUCAAUGUUGUCUUAGUUCAAUGAUACAUUUCAUGCAUUUGAGUUGUUCAAAGAAGUUUUUACCAAGUCUGAGUGUAGACACUUUGCUUAAUGUCUUAGGUACUUCUGGUUUACUUUGUUUUUGAGUAUUUGAUACUAUUAACUUUUCUACUUGUUUACAAGUGGUGCAGGUUUACUCGUGAUGUUUAAAUCAAGACUGGUUAGGAAGAUUACUAAAAUUUUUAAAAACAAAUUCGAUGGUCCCUACUAUAGCUGGACUUGUGUGCCGCGUGAGAGACAAGAAAGAUACUUCAUCGAGUUCGCGAAAAUCCACACCUGGGAUCCCUUGAUAACAGGGACAGUUCAAUGGUGGUUCGAGGAAAUCUGUCAACGCCGGAUGAAGAAUAUGGUGAGCUGCAGUCCAACCAGCAGGACACACCACUGGAACCACACCAACCUCUCCUCUAUCUAACACCGCCUCAAAUCAUUCAACUUGAUUUUAGUUUCCUUUUGUCUGUGUAUGUGAACUUAUUAGGAUAUGUUAUGCUUUGAUUAGGAUAGUUUUUGAAUGGUUUGGAAUGGUACUUGAUUGAUAUUUGAAUGGUUUUUGAAUGCAUUUGCUUUUGAAA